AAAACAUCUCUUUUUGAUUAAAAUAAUAAGUUGACUCUGCCCAAUGAAAUUUAAAUGGCUGCAGUAUUUUGACUGUACAAAGGUAGCAUAAUCAAUUGAUUUUUAAAUGAAAUCUUGAAUGAAAGAGGUGAUGAGAUAUAUACUUUAUUUAAUUUAUUAAUUGAAUUUAAAUUUAAAGUAAAAAUUCUUUAAUAUUUUUAAGGGACGAGAAGACCCUAUAGAAUUUUAUAUAAAUAAUAUUAUUUUUAUAAUUUAAAUAUUAAAUAUAUUUAUUUGGGAGGAAUAUUAAAUUUAAUAAACUUUAAUUAUUAAUUUACAUUUAUUAAUGAAUAUAUAUUAUUUUAUUAAUUAAGUUUAAAAUUAAAUUACCUUAGGGAUAACAGCGUAAUAUUUUUUAAGAGAUCUUAUUUAAAAAAAUGUUU
Molecule: ribosomal RNA, 422 nt
Filed under: Epyris sp.
Lineage: Eukaryota; Metazoa; Arthropoda; Insecta; Hymenoptera; Bethylidae
Description: partial large subunit ribosomal RNA
Source: RNAcentral